AACAGCAGGAUGUGGGUGGGGCCAGAUAAGAGAAUAAAAGCAGGCUGCCUGAGCCAGUAGUGGCAACCCGCUUGAGUCAGCUUCUGCAUUGUGGAAGGUUUGUUCUUUCUCUCUUUGCAGUAAAUCUUACUGCUGCUCACUUCUUGGGUCCACACUGCGUUUAUUAGCUGCAACGCUCACUACUAUGGUCUGCAGCUUCACUCCUGAAGCCAGUGAGACCACGAACCCACCAGAAUGAAGAAACUCCGAACACAUCCGAACAUCAGAAGGAACAAACUCCGGACAGGCGGCCUUUAAGAACUGUAACGCUCACCUCGAGGGUCUGCGGCUUCAUUCUUGAAGUCAGUGAGACCAAGAACCCACCAAUUCCGGACACAAUGUUACCCCAGAUAAUCAGCGCCAUUUUCUGAAGCUUGAGAUGCAGGAAAAGAGGAGUGCUAUCCAUUAGAUGGAGACAGGAAGUAGAAAAAGGAACCCCAAGGAGCAUGAGGACAUCCUGAACAGAGGCCACCUCAGGGGAGCUGAAGGAGCAGGAGAGCAGCCCUGGUACACCCUACCCAGGCUCACCUCCUCCCGCAGAACUAAGCCAGGGCUGAGAAGUUCCUUGAAAGAGGCUGCUCUUUGGAAGCCUUGCACAUUUCUGAAGGCUGCCAAGAGAGUGUGCGGCUGAAACCAGAGUGAGGACCCAUGCUUCCUUGAGGUGGAGCCCAGGCACUUGGGCAAACAGCUGAUAGGAGUUCAUUUUGUGAAGCUGUGACGAGUUUUCCAGUAGACCAUGAGCUUGCUGAUGGCAGGAGCCUGCCUGUCCUUGAUCCUUGUUUCUGUGGGGUCUGUCCCAGUGCCUGGCACAGUGGCUUUGGAGAUGGAAGGAAUAGAGGGAGAGCAGAUCCUCAAACACAGCCUGCAUCUCUCCCUGCUCCCCUCCCACCCUCCAGUUUUCCAGCCAGAGGCAUUUGCUCUAAGGCCCAGGCUGUGGCCCACCUAUCACCGCUACCCAAGUAGUACAGGUAUGAUUGUCUGUUUACUUUCUUUAAUUCAAAUCACACUAGAGAAAUUUCAGGACUCACUCACUGAUAAAUCAUGGUUACUUACCUCUUGUCUAGGCCCUUGGGCAAGGGUGCAUUGAUGCAUCUACUAUGAUUGCCUGGUUAUCUUGGUCUUGGAAGCACCUAGUAAUGAAAGAACCCAGAGAAAGAUAAACAGAGCCAAGGGAGCCAAGGUUAAUCUUUCUGAGCCUAUUUCUUCCUUUAUGUAACUGGAAUAUUGUUUCCUGCCCCACCUACUUCACAAGGCUGAAAUGAGGAUUAAGCAAGUUAAUGGCUCUCAAGGUCCACCAGGAAGGAUGGAGUUCUAGAUACAUAUUGGGUUCCUCUAGUCCUUACAUAUUGCAAAAGACUUGGGUAAAGCUUCUGGAAGAGCUAGGCUGACCAAUCUUCCUGACUUACCCAGGACUGAGGGAUUCCUUGGGAUGCCGGAAUUUCUGUACUAAAACCAGGAAAAUACAAGGCAAACCUGGUUGAGGUUGAGUUGGUCACUCUACACAGAGGUAGCACUUAACCAGUGUCUGUCCUGGGCUAUAAUGGUGUCCCUCCAAAACUCAUGUUGAAGCCCCAGUACUUUAGAAUGUGACUGUAUUCGAAGAUGGGGCAUUGAAAAGAGGUGAUUAAGUUAAAAGGAGGCCAUCAGGGUGGGCUCUAUUCCAAUCUGACUGGUGUCCUUACAGGAAGAGGAAAUUUGAAGAGGAAAAGAGGCACCAGGGAUGAGGACACACCGAGAAAAGACCAUGUGAAGACAUGGUGAGAAGACAGCCAGCUGCAAGCCAAGGAGUGAGGCCUCAGAAGAAACCAACCCUGCCGAUACCUUGACCUUGGACUUCUAGUCUCCAGAAUUAUGCGAAAAUAAAUUCCUGUUGUUUAAG
Molecule: long non-coding RNA, 1918 nt
Filed under: Pan paniscus (pygmy chimpanzee)
Lineage: Eukaryota; Metazoa; Chordata; Mammalia; Primates; Hominidae
Description: lncRNA (ENSPPAG00000045172.1)
Source: RNAcentral